CACAUUUGGAGAAUUUCUGAGUCUGUGAUGGUGUAACCCACAAACGCCAAGCACGCACAGUCCCACAAUCAACUGGCUGAGCUGUGUUGAGUUCAAUCCCUCCCCUCCCCUCCCUUUCCUCCUCCCUCCUGUAGAUCAGCAGCCAAACAUAUGCCGAUGUGAACUCGACGUGGAUUAUUGAGCCAACAGCAACUCUACGCAAACAUUUUCCAGACUUUCCAACUCCGGUCCCGGCCUGUGCUGAGAGAAAUCCAAUGGGAUUUAUAGAUCAUCUCCCUACAGCUGUCCCUUCUCAGUCAGUCAACCCCCCACUGCAUCCACACACACACACACACACACACACACACACACACACACACACACACACACACACACACACACACACACACACACACACACACAUCAACAGGCCGGACAAACUCCUCUGUCCUCCUCACUGUCUGUGCGUUUCUCAAAGAGAUCAUAUGAUUCAAUGAAUUUGAGGGGAUUUGGAGUCCGGAACCUGCAUGAGACUCCGAGGUCAGCCAGAAACAAGGCCACGAACACCAUCAGAGUCCCACUCGGUCCUCUAGGGGGCGAAUUCAGCCCGGGCAAAGACAGAGCUAAGGCAAAGAUACCAUUAUUAUUACUAAUAUUUUCUUAAAGCCAAAUGAUGCAGCUUUAUAACAGAGAAGGACAACAAAAUCGCACCACACUCCUAUCCAGCUUCAUUACAGUGAUGCCUUAUCUGGUGGUAAAGCCUAAAGCGAGCACACACAUACUUAAAACACACAAAUAUAUGGAUUAGUCUGUCGUUUUUUAGGUUUUUCAAAUUGAAAAAUGGCAGGGAGUAUCCUCGCAUUGAUACAAACUGCGAAAAUUAUUUUCUCUGUGUUUUAAAUGUAAAUAAAAAGAGGAAAAAGUUGAAGUUUUGGGCACCAGAAUUCGUUUCAGAAUACAAUAUUUAAAUUCAAAGCAGAUAAGUUGAUUUACAAACACAACUGAGGCAUCAACUGAAUGAAAAGCAAGAUGUCAUAUUUUUCUGUCAUUUUGGACUGACAGCAAAGAGAGUUCCCCACCUCCUUGACCGUGAAUAAGAGAGAGAGAGAGAGAGAGAGAGAGAGAGAGAGAGAGAGAGAGAGAGAGAGAGAGAGAGAGAGAGAGAGCCCGAGAGAGAGCUCAGCCCUCGUUCUCCAAACACAGUCCCAGAGAAAUGAGCGCACAUGCAGGAGGCGCUGGGAAGCAGCCUGUAAAGCAGUUCCCCCAGUUCAGAUUAAUGGUAGUGCGCGCUUAUUCUGCAGUCGGGGUGAAAGGGCUAGGAUCACUAAUGAUUAUAAUAUAAUGUGUGGCGAUAACCACUCCCUUUGAGAUAUUAUCGCCCGCUGGCCAAUGCUCAGGGGACGGGCUUGCGUGGCUGCAGAGCGGCAGAUAGCUGCUGCUGCUGCUGCAGACACCGCAGCGGAUUUCUGCGCUCUGAAAUAAAAAAAAUAAAAAGAGAGAGAGAGAGAGAGAGAAAAAAAAGCCCGCGAGCGCGGAGAGAGAGGGAGAGCUGGCCGCUGCUGAUACCUGCCUUAAAAUAUUCAGCAGAAUGGCCCUCCUGCUUAACCAUACAUCUGCUGCUUUUAUGUUUUUAUUAACAAUGACAAUCCGAGGGCUUUAGAUGCUUUAAAAUAAGGGCAUUUUUGUCCAGGAUGUUCGUUUGGAUUUUAACCCUAAAUUAUCAAACAACAAAAACAAAAGUAUAAGCUUCUUUUUGAGAAAAUAUUACCAAGAUAUAUCAUUACUUGUAUUUGGAACAUUGAGGAUCUUCCAAAACGGGAGUUUAGCCACAAAAGGCCACAUAAGAAUUGCGUAUAAGCAAUGCCUUGACCCCAAAACAAAAAUUUCCCCUAAGGGUCUUUAGGAAGUUUGGCAAGUUGAAAAGAAUUUAUGCCAUUACAUAAAAGUGCAUCACAUUCAAGACUUCCAUGAGACAAAAAGUGCCUUCUAAAGCUUUUGAAUUUUAAAUCCUGCUUUUCUAAAAUAAUUUCUGAUCAUGAAACACCUUGCUCUUUGCUGUAGGAAUAUAAAGUCUCGAAUAGUUCGAGGUCUUUGUUGGACAUUUUUGAAAUCUCUGGGAAUAAAUCGGAAAAAGCUUUCCUCGAAGGGUUUUAAAAAUAGCUAAAAAAGAUUGAGGUAAACCUGAGAUAUUAGGGGAUUGCUAUGUUGUGAAGUACAUAAAUAGUAAGGUGUUGGCUAGAGCAGAAAAAGCCUCGAUUUAUCAUGAACUCUUUGCAUCAUUAAAAUUCAAAUGCAGUGGUACAGGCCCGCACAGUCAGGGCUCAAAACAAAGGCGCAGCCGCUGAUCUGUAUUCAGGUCGUUCUUAUCCACAGAGCUAAAAAACGCAAAAGGUAUCAAAGAUUUUCACGCACAACCUGGAAAUGUUCUCAGACUCGCUAUUAAAAUAAUAAAGAAGAAAAAAAAAGAAACUCAAAUCAAGCUGGAAUCAAGGAGAAACUGAUGACUCUUUCACGUGAACGCCGCAACUUUCCCAAAACCGCUUAGCCUGAAAAGCCCUGUAUAAUUAUCGACAUUCACUGAUCAAUACCAAACAGCAGAGUCCUAAACGACACCAGAGUAAAAAAGAAAAAAAUCUGCGAAGGAAAGAGGAGGAGGAGGAAGAGGAAGAAGUGGAGUGAGUGAUGCUGCUGUGCUGGACGCACCGCCGCCGAUCCCGCUCUAUCCAUCUUCAUUGGAGCUUUUGUGUGCGCAAAAAGCAAAGGCGCGCAUAAGGUAAAGCCCGCAUCAAAGCCGCGGCUUUAUUUUUAUAUCCAAUAGAUCAGCAGGCAGACAAAGCUUUAUUUUCGCCAGGAGAGAGAUAUUUUACCUCCGCCUUACGGUUUUAUGUUGGAGAGGUGUCAGCCGGGGGAAAUGGAUGGCUAAUGCAUAGGCAAAGCGCGGCUCGCCUCAGCAUGCUGCACGUCAGAGGGGGGCUGCAGGGAAGAGCAGCGGGGAUUUAGGGCCCCUGGGGGUCCAGCACGGGGGACUGAAUGCAGGGGAGGGGAUAGAAACAUCCGGCCUCCACUCAUGCUGUAUAGCUCAUAUCACAGAAAUCACACACAGUCACAGACAGACUACAUGCCUCACACCACUGAACCAGACUACCAGUGCAGGCCUGGUGGUAAAAAUCCAGGGCCAGCGUUUAUGAGGGUCAAAGUAAAGAGCCCCUGUCGUUCAGCUCUUGAUGCCAUUAUAGCACAUGCUGUAAAUAUGAGUGGCAUUAAAAAUGUGUUGUGAUGAAAGGUAAACAACAUUAACCUAGACCACCUCUCAAAGACUCCACCUGCACUCUCUCUUUGACUGUUUGUAUUUAUUACAUGUUUAUCACAAAAUGUUCAGGUAACAAAUGAAAAACAACAGCCCACUAUCCUUUCACAUACACAACAAGUAAAACAGCUGCAACUGAAUCCUCCAAGAGUUGUUUUUUUAGAUUGAUUAUAAAGUACAAAAACCCACAAACAUAUACUGAAUGGAUUAACUACAAAGUGUUGUGAUUUCAAACCAAUGAAAAAUCUGGUUGAUAUAGGUAUAGUCUAGCCUGUGUGGAAUGAGCCUGUUUUUCACAAUCCAGGGCUGGUCCAUGAGUUUUGGGGGCCUUAAGUACAGCCCCCUAAAAACCCACCUGCCCACUUUGUCCCAAUAAUAUUGCAUUAUUGUGAAUUUCUAGAUUGUUCCAUUUAUGGUGCAAUUGUUGCUUGUUAUAUAUCCCUUCCUCAGUAAUCAUUGACCAAUUGAAAGCUCAAAAAUUAUUUUCCAACCAUACCAAUCCAGCGGUCAACUCAUAAAGUUAGAGAAAAAAAAAUGCAAAAAACCAACCCAUUGUGUAUUUUUGCACAAUAGCAAAGUUUUUUUUUCUCUACAAACAAAGUAAAAAUUCUUUCAAUGAUGUUGUUGAUUCUGCACUACAGUAUUUGAUUAGAUAUUUAGUCUUUGAAAUAAACAGAAUAUUAUGUAUUUCUUUUAAAUUCUUGUAGAGCAGUUUUAGGUUAAAAAAUAUUGGAGUAAUUUUGAACACAUUUUGGAGUCUAAUAGACAGACAGCUUCAUAAUUGUUCAUUAAAAUGAAAAUGAAUUUUUACAUUUACACAGUAAAUCUUGUUUUUGUCACUGACAGACUUAGACUAUAAUUCUGACGGUCUAGCAAUAUUACAAGGAAAGAUUUCUAUAGAGAUGGACCUUUCAGUUAUAGAAGAUCAUUCAUGAUAGAAACAGCUGUUACACGACUCUUUUCAAAGUCAUCAGACUCCAUGGCUGGUGUACCAUACCAGCUGGGAGCAUGGUGUACAUCUCCAACAUGUUCAAUGUUGACC
Molecule: non-coding RNA, 4328 nt
Organism: Xyrichtys novacula (pearly razorfish)
Lineage: Eukaryota; Metazoa; Chordata; Actinopteri; Labriformes; Labridae
Source: the annotation of a GenBank genome assembly